Molecule: ribosomal RNA, 278 nt
Filed under: uncultured Staphylococcus sp.
Lineage: Bacteria; Bacillati; Bacillota; Bacilli; Caryophanales; Staphylococcaceae
Description: partial 16S ribosomal RNA
Rfam family: Bacterial small subunit ribosomal RNA
Source: RNAcentral
GUGCCAGCAGCCGCGGUAAUACGUAGGUGGCAAGCGUUAUCCGGAAUUAUUGGGCGUAAAGCGCGCGUAGGCGGUUUUUUAAGUCUGAUGUGAGAGCCCACGGCUCAACCGUGGAGGGUCAUUGGAAACUGGAAAACUUGAGUGCAGAAGAGGAAAGUGGAAUUCCAUGUGUAGCGGUGAAAUGCGCAGAGAUAUGGAGGAACACCAGUGGCGAAGGCGGCUUUCUGGUCUGUAACUGACGCUGAUGUGCGAAAGCGUGGGGAUCAAACAGGAUUAGA